UAUCAGGAACAAACCACGGAGUUGCCCAGGACAAGACCUCUCUGCAAGAGAAGGACUUUGGAAGCUUUAUCUAGUUACAAAGAAGAGUUGUAUCCUGGCUUUAGUCCCCCUUUAGUUAUUACAGUGGAAGUGUGUAUAUGUAGAGAGACACAAGCCCAUAUGAGUACUGAGAUUUACGUACGUGCAUGUGUGUUCCUCAGGAGGUGUCUACCUUGUCUUCUGAGACAGUCUACAAGUGGCCUGGGACGUUCCAAUAUCUACCUGCCUCUGCCUCCACAGCCCUGGCAUUAUAAGCAUAUACCAUGCCUGAAGGUUUUUUUUUUUUUUUUUGGUUAAUGUGGGUUCUGGGUAUUGAACUGUGAUCUUUGUGCUUUCAAGGCAUAUACUUUACUGACUGAGCUAUGUUCCUGUCCUUAGUCAAAAUAUUAUACCUCUGCAAGGACAGCAGACAUUAAACAAAAAUUAAAAUGAUAUAUAUGAAACCAAAGCCCAUUACUCUGUAUGCAAAU
RNAcentral lists this long non-coding RNA (509 nucleotides) under Rattus norvegicus (Norway rat). RNAcentral's name for it is "long non-coding RNA NONRATT023395". The record is from RNAcentral. Lineage: Eukaryota; Metazoa; Chordata; Mammalia; Rodentia; Muridae.